AAAAAAGUCAAGAUCAAUGUUCAUAGGACUGUGGGGACAAAGGUUGUCUUUGAUGAGGAAGGCAACACACGUGCUCCACUUGCUAUGUUGGUCGACAAGACGAGCGACGAUAUACUGCUUGACCAAGAUAUUGAAGGUGUAGUGGAGGAUUCAAUCUCUUCAAGCUGGAAAAGCCAAGGCUUAGCAUUUCUUCAAGUAGAGUGUUAUUUAAUGUUGCAUUCCAUGGUCGUUUAUCUUAGUCGGAACUUGAAUUAGGUGUUAUUGAAACAGGGUUUUGUAGCUACCUUGUAUACUAGCUUCUUUAACCAUGAUUGUUAAUUAUUACGUGUUUUGUAGCUUCUUUUAUAUUUGGCCGAGUUAAUAUAGAUCAUGAGUUUGAACAUAAUAUUUUAAUUCUAAAUUUAAAUUCAUUAAUUUUAUAUUAACCUUUAAAGUUAAAAUUUUAAUAGAAAAUUUAAUUUAAUUAAAUUUUUUUAUCCUUAAAAGUAUGUAGUUUAAAUUUUAAAUAUCAAAAAUAAAACAUUAUAUAAUAUUUAUCAUAGAAAUAAUUUUUUUUUAAAUAAAAUUUUUUAAAAAGUUAUGUUUUUAGUGGCGUUUGUGAAAAAGCGUCGCUAAAUGUCAUUUUUAUAGCGGCGUUUAUAAUAUAAGCGCCACUAAAAGUUAUGACCUAUAGUUAGCGGCGUUUGUGGGAAAAACGCCGCUAAAGGUCAUGGUCUUUAGCGGCGUUUGUAGGAAUGUGCCGCUAAAGGUCAUGGUCUUUAGCGGCGCUUUUCCCACAAACGCCGCUAAAGGUCAUGAUCUUUAGAGGCAUUUAUUUCUGAAAACGCCGUUAAAGUUAGCGACGCUUUCAUUAGCGGCGUUUUUUGCUGCGCUUCUAAAAGCGCCGCAACUAAUUUUAGCGGCGCUUUUUGGCGCUGCUAAAGGCCUAAAAAAGCGCCGCUAAAAGCCUGUUUUGGUGUAGUGUUACUAAGCAUUCAUUGCUUAUGUGAUUAUAUUUCUCUUACUUUAUAGAUUAUCGGAAGCUCGAUCAGGUUGGAAGCUAGUCAGAGAUCCAUCACACUAUCCAUCGAUUUUAUCGGUUUUUAAAGGUCGCAUUUCGAGAGUUACAUGGCCUGGCACAUAGGCGUGUGGCUUGGCCGUGUGUACCAAGUUAAAGAAUUGCACGGGCACGGACACAGGCUGGAACACGGCUGUGUGUCCCUACUUCGAAUGGCCACACGGUCGUGUUACUCUUGUAUUAUGAAUUUUUCUAUCUUUUUUCCAUAAAGUUCUAAAUUUUUUUAAUUUAGUCCUGAAUCGUUUCUAAUGUGUUUCUAAGGCCUCAAGGGCUCGAAAAAGGGAUGUUAUGCAUGUAUUUGAAUGGAAUAUGAUGUGUUUUAUAAAUGAUUGUAAUCGAAUGUUUUAAGUUAAAAGUUUUCGGUAA
Molecule: long non-coding RNA, 1423 nt
Organism: Gossypium raimondii (Peruvian cotton)
Lineage: Eukaryota; Viridiplantae; Streptophyta; Magnoliopsida; Malvales; Malvaceae
Exons: 3
Source: RefSeq, a predicted model, not a curated record